GACGAACGCUGGCGGCGUGCUUAACACAUGCAAGUCGUACGGUAAGGCCCUUUCGGGGGUACACGAGUGGCGAACGGGUGCGUAACACGUGAGUAACCUGCCCACAACUUUGGGAUAACGCUAGGAAACUGGUGCUAAUACUGGAUAUGUGCUCCUGCUGCAUGGUGGGGGUUGGAAAGCUCCGGCGGUUGUGGAUGGACUCGCGGCCUAUCAGCUUGUUGGUGGGGUAGUGGCCUACCAAGGCGGCGACGGGUAGCCGGCCUGAGAGGGUGACCGGCCACAGUGGGACUGAGAGACGGCCCAGACUCCUACGGGAGGCAGCAGUGGGGAAUAUUGCACAAUGGGCGCAAGCCGGAUGCAGCAACGCCGCGUGCGGGAUGACGGCCUUCGGGUUGGAAACCGCUUUCAGCAGGGACGAAGCUUUUUGUGACGGUACCUGCAGAAGAAGCACCGGCUAACUACGUG
This 465-nucleotide ribosomal RNA is filed under the name uncultured bacterium. RNAcentral describes it as "partial 16S ribosomal RNA". It matches the Rfam family "Bacterial small subunit ribosomal RNA", at positions 28 to 507 of the family's 1533-position model. The record is from RNAcentral.